Long non-coding RNA from Hyla sarda, 612 nucleotides. RefSeq lists it as uncharacterized. Lineage: Eukaryota; Metazoa; Chordata; Amphibia; Anura; Hylidae. The record is from RefSeq and is a predicted model, not a curated record. The transcript is spliced from 5 exons.
UAUCUAGACCUUAUGCUCAGGUGAUCUAUGAAAAGUAAUUCUGCAAGAAUAAGACAAUAAGUGACAGAAAACAACCUCCAUAAAGACAGCCAUUAAACGCCUACGCCACAUUAAGAAACUACAUUUCCCAACAGCCUUCGCGAACUUUUCCCACCUAAACCGGAAGUGACGCGAACUCGGCCUCUUUAAAUACGGCGGGUCGGCGUAGUGACGUCCUCUUGUCAUUGGUGCCAUCUUAGGAAGGCUCUUCUUCUCAAGAUGAGAGCCAAGUGGAGGAAGAAGCGAAUGCGCAGACUGAAGCGUAAAAGGAGAAAGAUGAGGCAGAGGUCUAAGUAAACGUCUCCUCCAUUGCUGUUCACAAGGCCUGCAAGCUAAACAGCACUCCAGAUAAAGAUGACCCUACAGCCUGUGAUCUUCGACAUUCCUUCCAUCUUGGGCCAACUGGCUGUCAGCGCGGAUGUGACCACCUUUCUGGAAUCGUCAAUACUGUAGAAGCUGAACAGCCCGUGAUAUCUUGGACUGAUGAGAAUGCCCCCUGCUCUCAGGAGUUGGACUUUUUAGUUUAUGGUCUUGUGCAGCAAGUGUAAUAAACAGGUUUUUGGUUAAACCAAG